Non-coding RNA from Pelobates cultripes (western spadefoot toad), 463 nucleotides. The record is from the annotation of a GenBank genome assembly. Lineage: Eukaryota; Metazoa; Chordata; Amphibia; Anura; Pelobatidae.
GUGGGUGAUAGGGUGUGUGGAAUGCAAGGGUCACCCCGAGUGCUGCCCAGACUUCCUUAGUCACUAGUGCUAUAAAAGCCGGGCCCUGGUCACUUUCAAUCACUUCAGGAACUCCAUAUCUACAGACAAUUUCAGUGAGCAACCGCUUGGCAGUGGUCUUGGCGGUCAUAUUAGUGACCGGAAAAGCUUCUGGCCAUCCUGAGAACAUGUCCACCAUAACUAGGGCAUAUUCAUACCGGCCACUCUUUGGCAUCUGAAUGUGGUCAAUUUGGACUCUCUGGAAUGGGUAGUGUGGCUUCGCCAGGUGUUUGGGGGACACUUUCUCCAAUUUUCCCGGAUUGCACUUGGCACAGAUAGCACAAGACUUACAGUAGGUUUUAGUCAGAGUGGUAAUACCUGGUGCUUCAAAAUAUUUAGCAAUUAAAGAGUUCAUGAGUGUCUUAGACAAGUGCGCUGCUCCGUG